GUAGCGGCGAACGAAACGGCAGGAGGGCAAACCGAAGAGUUUACUCUUCGGGGUUGUAGUACUGCAAUGUGGACUCAAAGAUUAUAGAAGAAUGAUUUGGGAAGAUCAGCCAAAGAGAGUAAUAGCCUCGUAUUUAAAAUAGUCUUUGUACCUAGCAGUAUCCUGAGUACGGCGGGCCACGUGAAAUCCCGUCGGAAUCUGGGAGGACCAUCUCCCAAGCCUACAUACUCCCUA
This 234-nucleotide ribosomal RNA is filed under the name Streptococcus oralis. RNAcentral describes it as "partial 23S ribosomal RNA". It matches the Rfam family "Bacterial large subunit ribosomal RNA", at positions 243 to 479 of the family's 2925-position model. Lineage: Bacteria; Bacillati; Bacillota; Bacilli; Lactobacillales; Streptococcaceae. The record is from RNAcentral.